Non-coding RNA from Ochotona princeps (American pika), 1550 nucleotides. NCBI's taxonomy places the organism in Eukaryota, Metazoa, Chordata, Mammalia, Lagomorpha, Ochotonidae. The record is from the annotation of a RefSeq genome assembly.
GCAAGCAGCUUAAGGAGCCCCUGCGCUUAGGAGGAAAGGAAGAGGAACUGACAGUAGACGUUUUGCUCCUGGCUGGAGACUGCAGGUCCCGAUGGGCAGACCUGUGAGGACCCCUGCAGGACUUAUCCUCCUGUUAUUGUGGCUGCUGCACUGUGUGAGUGGAGGAGAGCAGGUGGAGCAGAGUCCUGCUUUCCUGAGUGUCCAGGAGGGAGAGAGCUGUGUCAUCAACUGCACUUACACAAGCAGUGGCUUCUUCUACUUCUAUUGGUAUAAGCAAGAACCUGGGAAAGGUCUCCAGUUUCUUAUAAACAUUCUCUCAAAUAUGGACAAGAAAGAAGACCAAAGACUCACUGUCCUCAUGAAUGAGAAAUCCAAACACUUCUCCCUGCAACUCUCAGCUGCCCAUCCUGCAGACUCUGCUGUGUACUUCUGUGCAGCAAAGCACAGCCCUGCACGGGCACCUGCAGCCUCUACCCAAACCCACAUGAGGGUUGUUUCAGCUGUUUGGGGGAUGAACCAGGAGAUUUCCCAUACUCUGUCAGUCUCUGUCUCUGCCUCUCUUUUGUUUUCUGAACAUUAUUCUUGCAUUUGCAAAAAAAAGAGCUACAGAGUGGAAGACACAGACACUCACACAGAUAAAUUUCUAUCUGCUGGCUCACCCCCUGAUUAGUGCAGUAUCGAGGUCUGGACUAGGCUGAAAUUGGGAGCAAAAAGCCUCUAUUUUAGUUUCCCUCUUGCGCAACAGGAACCAUGUUAUGGACCUUCACAGGAGCGUCAAUGACUCUGAAAGAAGUGGUGUGGUUUGAGCUGAACUGACACUCUGAUAUGGGAUGCCAGUGUUUCACAGAGUGGCUUAACAUGCUGCACCACAAUGCGGGACCAUUGAACCUAAUUGUUACAUUGCACUAUUUUAUUUCUCCUGCCAUUAUCCUCUUGUUUUUGUAAUCAAAGGCAGUAUUUCUGGGUUCAGAUAUGACCUUUACAUCGAUAGCUUGUGCAACGUAGGAAGCAGCAAACAGAUAUUAUAAGAAAAAUAGAUGUUGACUUUCUAAAUGUCUUAUAGAGAAUUAUUGAUGUUAACGAAGUUACAAUGGCCUUGUCUUACAUUGUAAUUGUUGCUCUUAUUACAGGCAAACAGCAUGUAUUAAUUUGCAUAUUCUCUUUUUCUUAUAAGUGUAAUCACAAAGUAUUUGUUCUUUUAUGUCUUGCUUAUCUCCAUCUGCAGAUUAUUCUCAUGGUAUGGUGUUUUAGCAUGUAUGAGGUUUUCCUCCUCUUAAAAAUGACAUUCAUUGAAUGGCUAUAUGACUGUCUGUUUAUCCACUCACCAGUUGCAGAUGGUCAGUGUGUGUGUUUGAUCUGAAUAGUUUGCUUUGUAAAUAGAGAUAAUAUGAGAAUUGUACAGAUCAAGUGUAUUUGACAUGCAAAAUUGGCCUUAAAGCUGGUUGAAUAUCUAUUCCAAUGAGUUUGGUAUCAGAACAUAGGCAUUUUGAGAACUGCUAAAUCAAAGCCAAAUGGAAAAGCAAGACACUGUCAUUAUUGGAAAUGUAGAU